UNUGACUUGAGUGCAGAAGGGGAGAGUGGAAUUCCAUGUGUAGCGGUGAAAUGCGUAGAUAUAUGGAGGAACACCAAUGGCGAAAGCGGCUCUCUGGUCUGUCACUGACGCUGAGGCUCGAAAGCGUGGGUAGCGAACAGGAUUAGAUACCCUGGUAGUCCACGCCGUAAACGAUGAGUGCUAGGUGUUAGGCCCUUUCCGGGGCUUAGUGCCGGAGCUAACGCAAUAAGCACUCCGCCUGGGGAGUACGACCGCAAGGUUGAAACUCAAAGGAAUUGACGGGGGCCCGCACAAGCGGUGGAGCAUGUGGUUUAAUUCGAAGCAACGCGAAGAACCUUACCAGGUCUUGACAUCCCGAUGCUAUUCUUAGAGAUAGGAAGUUACUUCGGUACAUCGGAGACAGGUGGUGCAUGGUUGUCGUCAGCUCGUGUCGUGAGAUGUUGGGUUAAGUCCCGCAACGAGCGCAACCCUUAUUGUUAGUUGCCAUCAUUAAGUUGGGCACUCUAGCGAGACUGCCGGUAAUAAACCGGAGGAAGGUGGGGAUGACGUCAAAUCAUCAUGCCCCUUAUGACCUGGGCUACACACGUGCUACAAUGGUCGGUACAACGAGUUGCGAGCCGGUGACGGCAAGCUAAUCUCUGAAAGCCGAUCUCAGUUCGGAUUGGAGGCUGCAACUCGCCUCCAUGAAGUCGGAAUCGCUAGUAAUCGCGGAUCAGCACGCCGCGGUGAAUACGUUCCCGGGCCUUGUACACACCGCCCGUCACACCACGAGAGUUUGUAACACCCGAAGUCGGUGAGGUANCCUUUUAGGGG
This 813-nucleotide ribosomal RNA is filed under the name uncultured bacterium. RNAcentral's name for it is "bacterial SSU rRNA". It matches the Rfam family "Bacterial small subunit ribosomal RNA", at positions 636 to 1448 of the family's 1533-position model. The record is from RNAcentral.